CCUUAUACAGGGGGAUAACGGAGAGAAAUUUCCGCUAAGACCGCAUAAGACCACAGCACCGCAUGGUGCAGGGGUAAAAUAUUUAUAGGUAUAAGAUGGAUCCGCGUCCGUUUAGCUAGUUGGUGAGGUAAAGGCCCACCAAGGCGACGAUCGGUAGCCGGCCUGAGAGGGUGAACGGCCACAUUGGGACUGAGACACGGCCCAAACUCCUACGGGAGGCAGCAGUGGGGAAUAUUGGACAAUGGGGGAAACCCUGAUCCAGCGACGCCGCGUGAGUGAAGAAGUAUUUCGGUAUGUAAAGCUCUAUCAGCAGGGAAGAAAAUGACGGUACCUGACUAAGAGGCCCCGGCUAACUACGUGCCAGCAGCCGCGGUAAUACGUAGGGGGCAAGCGUUAUCCGGAUUUACUGGGUGUAAAGGGAGCGCAGACGGCAAUGCAAGUCUGAAGUGAAAGGCGUGGGCUCAACCCAUGAACUGCUUUGGAAACUGUAUAGCUUGAGUGUCGGAGGGGUAAGCGGAAUUCCUAGUGUAGCGGUGAAAUGCGU
This 544-nucleotide ribosomal RNA is filed under the name uncultured bacterium. Its description in RNAcentral is "bacterial SSU rRNA". It matches the Rfam family "Bacterial small subunit ribosomal RNA", at positions 129 to 691 of the family's 1533-position model. The record is from RNAcentral.